UGAGGACAGCACAUGAGAGCAUCAGAGCAGAGACAGACAGAGAGACAGACGGCAGAGAGACGGUCUACCUGGACGUCAUGGAUCACCUGUUGAUGCUGUUGCUGUUGCUGUGGAGCUCAGGACUCCAGGCUGAAGGAAAUCACACAUCAACAGAGUCUGUCAGGUUGGUGGGAGGAGACAGUCGCUGUGCAGGAACACUGG
Long non-coding RNA from Anoplopoma fimbria (sablefish), 201 nucleotides. RefSeq lists it as uncharacterized. The record is from RefSeq and is a predicted model, not a curated record. The transcript is spliced from 3 exons. NCBI's taxonomy places the organism in Eukaryota, Metazoa, Chordata, Actinopteri, Perciformes, Anoplopomatidae.